RNAcentral lists this ribosomal RNA (1117 nucleotides) under Microbacterium flavum. RNAcentral describes it as "bacterial SSU rRNA". It matches the Rfam family "Bacterial small subunit ribosomal RNA", at positions 328 to 1454 of the family's 1533-position model. Lineage: Bacteria; Bacillati; Actinomycetota; Actinomycetes; Micrococcales; Microbacteriaceae. The record is from RNAcentral.
GGCCCAGAUUCCUACGGGAGGCAGCAGUGGGGAAUAUUGCACAAUGGGCGCAAGCCUGAUGCAGCAACGCCGCGUGAGGGACGACGGCCUUCGGGUUGUAAACCUCUUUUAGCAGGGAAGAAGCGAAAGUGACGGUACCUGCAGAAAAAGCGCCGGCUAACUACGUGCCAGCAGCCGCGGUAAUACGUAGGGCGCAAGCGUUAUCCGGAAUUAUUGGGCGUAAAGAGCUCGUAGGCGGUUUGUCGCGUCUGCUGUGAAAUCCCGAGGCUCAACCUCGGGUCUGCAGUGGGUACGGGCAGACUAGAGUGCGGUAGGGGAGAUUGGAAUUCCUGGUGUAGCGGUGGAAUGCGCAGAUAUCAGGAGGAACACCGAUGGCGAAGGCAGAUCUCUGGGCCGUAACUGACGCUGAGGAGCGAAAGGGUGGGGAGCAAACAGGCUUAGAUACCCUGGUAGUCCACCCCGUAAACGUUGGGAACUAGUUGUGGGGUCCAUUCCACGGAUUCCGUGACGCAGCUAACGCAUUAAGUUCCCCGCCUGGGGAGUACGGCCGCAAGGCUAAAACUCAAAGGAAUUGACGGGGACCCGCACAAGCGGCGGAGCAUGCGGAUUAAUUCGAUGCAACGCGAAGAACCUUACCAAGGCUUGACAUAUACGAGAACGGGCCAGAAAUGGUCAACUCUUUGGACACUCGUAAACAGGUGGUGCAUGGUUGUCGUCAGCUCGUGUCGUGAGAUGUUGGGUUAAGUCCCGCAACGAGCGCAACCCUCGUUCUAUGUUGCCAGCACGUAAUGGUGGGAACUCAUGGGAUACUGCCGGGGUCAACUCGGAGGAAGGUGGGGAUGACGUCAAAUCAUCAUGCCCCUUAUGUCUUGGGCUUCACGCAUGCUACAAUGGCCGGUACAAAGGGCUGCAAUACCGUAAGGUGGAGCGAAUCCCAAAAAGCCGGUCCCAGUUCGGAUUGAGGUCUGCAACUCGACCUCAUGAAGUCGGAGUCGCUAGUAAUCGCAGAUCAGCAACGCUGCGGUGAAUACGUUCCCGGGUCUUGUACACACCGCCCGUCAAGUCAUGAAAGUCGGUAACACCUGAAGCCGGUGGCCCAACCCUUGUGGAGGGAGCC